UACGAAGGGUGCAAACGUUGCUCGGAAUCAUUGGGCGUAAAGCGCACGUAGGCGGCUUCGCAAGUCGGAUGUGAAAUCCCUCGGCUCAACCGAGGACGUGCACCCGAAACUGCGGGGCUUGAGUACUUAAGAGGAUCGCGGAAUUCCCGGUGUAGAGGUGAAAUUCGUAGAUAUCGGGAGGAACACCAGUGGCGAAGGCGGCGAUCUGGGAAGAUACUGACGCUGAGGUGCGAAAGCGUGGGGAGCAAACAGG
This 253-nucleotide ribosomal RNA is filed under the name uncultured bacterium. Its description in RNAcentral is "partial 16S ribosomal RNA". It matches the Rfam family "Bacterial small subunit ribosomal RNA", at positions 524 to 776 of the family's 1533-position model. The record is from RNAcentral.